Molecule: non-coding RNA, 125 nt
Organism: Hordeum vulgare subsp. vulgare (domesticated barley)
Lineage: Eukaryota; Viridiplantae; Streptophyta; Magnoliopsida; Poales; Poaceae
Source: Rfam
AUAGUACUUCCUCCGUCCGAAAAUACUUGUAACAGGAAUGGAUGUAUCUAGAUGUAUUUUAGUUCUACAUACAUCUAUUUUUAUAAAUUGGUGCGACAAGUAAUUCCGGACGAAAGGAAUAUAUA